GUGGGGAAUUUUGGACAAUGGGGGAAACCCUGAUCCAGCCAUUCCGCGUGAGUGAAGAAGGCCUUCGGGUUGUAAAGCUCUUUUGUCCGGAACGAAACGGUUACGGCUAACACCUGUGACUACUGACGGUACCGGAAGAAUAAGCACCGGCUAACUACGUGCCAGCAGCCGCGGUAAUACGUAGGGUGCGAGCGUUAAUCGGAAUUACUGGGCGUAAAGCGUGCGCAGGCGGUUUUGUAAGCCAGAUGUGAAAUCCCCGGGCUUAACCUGGGAAUGGCAUUUGGGACUGCAAGGCUUGAGUGCGGCAGAGGAGACUGGAAUUCCUGGUGUAGCAGUGAAAUGCGUAGAUAUCAGGAGGAACACCGAUGGCGAAGGCAGGUCUCUGGGCUGACACUGACGCUCAUGCACGAAAGCGUGGGGAGCAAAC
Molecule: ribosomal RNA, 427 nt
Filed under: uncultured bacterium
Lineage: Bacteria
Description: bacterial SSU rRNA
Rfam family: Bacterial small subunit ribosomal RNA
Source: RNAcentral